AGCAUUUGAGUAAAGACUGGUAAUGUUACAUCCUGGUAGUGAGUUAAUGGGACACAUGAUUUAGCACCAUUUUAGUCCUAUAGAAUACAUUAUUUAUCUGUAUCUUCUGUUUAUUUCUCUCAUUCUGUAUGCAUCUCAGAUGAACACAAAUGCUCAGAGACAGCAGAGAAUAACAGAGAAAAACAAGGGAACAG
Long non-coding RNA from Cyprinus carpio (common carp), 194 nucleotides. The record is from Ensembl. NCBI's taxonomy places the organism in Eukaryota, Metazoa, Chordata, Actinopteri, Cypriniformes, Cyprinidae.